AACGAACGCUGGCGGCAUGCCUAACACAUGCAAGUCGAACGAGACCUUCGGGUCUAGUGGCGCACGGGUGCGUAACGCGUGGGAACCUGCCCUUAGGUUCGGAAUAACUCCCCGAAAGGGGUGCUAAUACCGGAUAAUGUCUUCGGACCAAAGAUUUAUCGCCUUUGGAUGGGCCCGCGUUGGAUUAGCUAGUUGGUAGGGUAAAAGCCUACCAAGGCGACGAUCCAUAGCUGGUCUGAGAGGAUGAUCAGCCACACUGGGACUGAGACACGGCCCAGACUCCUACGGGAGGCAGCAGUGGGGAAUAUUGGACAAUGGGCGAAAGCAUGAUCCAGCAAUGCCGCGUGAGUGAUGAAGGCCUUAGGGUUGUAAAGCUCUUUUACCCGGGAUGAUAAUGACAGUACCGGGAGAAUAAGCUCCGGCUAACUACGUG
This 433-nucleotide ribosomal RNA is filed under the name uncultured bacterium. RNAcentral describes it as "partial 16S ribosomal RNA". It matches the Rfam family "Bacterial small subunit ribosomal RNA", at positions 29 to 507 of the family's 1533-position model. The record is from RNAcentral.